This 890-nucleotide ribosomal RNA is filed under the name Lacticaseibacillus paracasei. Its description in RNAcentral is "bacterial SSU rRNA". It matches the Rfam family "Bacterial small subunit ribosomal RNA", at positions 16 to 869 of the family's 1533-position model. Lineage: Bacteria; Bacillati; Bacillota; Bacilli; Lactobacillales; Lactobacillaceae. The record is from RNAcentral.
AUUUCCUCGCCAGAUGAACGCUGGCGGCGUGCCUAAUACAUGCAAGUCGAACGAGUUCUCGUUGAUGAUCGGUGCUUGCACCGAGAUUCAACAUGGAACGAGUGGCGGACGGGUGAGUAACACGUGGGUAACCUGCCCUUAAGUGGGGGAUAACAUUUGGAAACAGAUGCUAAUACCGCAUAGAUCCAAGAACCGCAUGGUUCUUGGCUGAAAGAUGGCGUAAGCUAUCGCUUUUGGAUGGACCCGCGGCGUAUUAGCUAGUUGGUGAGGUAAUGGCUCACCAAGGCGAUGAUACGUAGCCGAACUGAGAGGUUGAUCGGCCACAUUGGGACUGAGACACGGCCCAAACUCCUACGGGAGGCAGCAGUAGGGAAUCUUCCACAAUGGACGCAAGUCUGAUGGAGCAACGCCGCGUGAGUGAAGAAGGCUUUCGGGUCGUAAAACUCUGUUGUUGGAGAAGAAUGGUCGGCAGAGUAACUGUUGUCGGCGUGACGGUAUCCAACCAGAAAGCCACGGCUAACUACGUGCCAGCAGCCGCGGUAAUACGUAGGUGGCAAGCGUUAUCCGGAUUUAUUGGGCGUAAAGCGAGCGCAGGCGGUUUUUUAAGUCUGAUGUGAAAGCCCUCGGCUUAACCGAGGAAGCGCAUCGGAAACUGGGAAACUUGAGUGCAGAAGAGGACAGUGGAACUCCAUGUGUAGCGGUGAAAUGCGUAGAUAUAUGGAAGAACACCAGUGGCGAAGGCGGCUGUCUGGUCUGUAACUGACGCUGAGGCUCGAAAGCAUGGGUAGCGAACAGGAUUAGAUACCCUGGUAGUCCAUGCCGUAAACGAUGAAUGCUAGGUGUUGGAGGGUUUCCGCCCUUCAGUGCCGCAGCUAACGCAUUAAGCAUCC